Molecule: ribosomal RNA, 420 nt
Filed under: uncultured bacterium
Lineage: Bacteria
Description: partial 16S ribosomal RNA
Rfam family: Bacterial small subunit ribosomal RNA
Source: RNAcentral
AUAUUGGGCAAUGGGCGAAAGCCUGAUCCAGCCCAGCCGCGUGUUUGAAGAAGGUCCUCGGAUUGUAAAGCAACUUAAGGUGGGAGGCAGGGCAGUAAGUUAAUACCUUGCUGCUUUGACGUUAACGACAGAAAAAGCACCGGCCAACUUCGUGCCAGCAGCCGCGGUAAUACGAAGGGAGCAAGCGUUAAUCGGAAUUACUGGGCGUAAAGCGCGCGUAGGUGGUUUGUUAAGUUGGAAGUGAAAUCCCCGGGCUUAACCUGGGAACUGCUUUCAUAACUGCUGAGCUAGAGUACGGUAGAGGGUAGUGGAAUUUCCUGUGUAGCGGUGAAAUGCGUAGAUAUAGGAAGGAACACCAGUGGCGAAGGCGACUACCUGGACUGAUACUGACACUGAGGUGCGAAAGCGUGGGGAGCAAAC